RNAcentral lists this non-coding RNA (21 nucleotides) under Arabidopsis thaliana (thale cress). Lineage: Eukaryota; Viridiplantae; Streptophyta; Magnoliopsida; Brassicales; Brassicaceae. The record is from RNAcentral.
GGCUCGUCGUGGUAACGGUCA